UGGGCGUUGGUGUAAUGGCAACACUACAGAUUCUGGUCCUGUCAUUGAAGGUUCGAGUCCUUCACGCCCAA
This 71-nucleotide transfer RNA is filed under the name Bacteroidales bacterium. RNAcentral's name for it is "tRNA-Gln". It matches the Rfam family "tRNA". From Rfam's summary of the family: Transfer RNA (tRNA) molecules are approximately 80 nucleotides in length. RNAcentral also lists the same sequence under 1 other name. Lineage: Bacteria; Pseudomonadati; Bacteroidota; Bacteroidia; Bacteroidales. The record is from RNAcentral.